RNAcentral lists this ribosomal RNA (839 nucleotides) under uncultured bacterium. Its description in RNAcentral is "bacterial SSU rRNA". It matches the Rfam family "Bacterial small subunit ribosomal RNA", at positions 1 to 839 of the family's 1533-position model. The record is from RNAcentral.
UUAGAGUUUGAUCCUGGCUCAGAUUGAACGCUGGCGGCAUGCCUUACACAUGCAAGUCGAACGGCAGCACGGGUGCUUGCACCUGGUGGCGAGUGGCUAACGGGUGAGUAAUACAUCGGAACAUGUCCUGUAGUGGGGGAUAGCCCGGCGAAAGCCGGAUUAAUACCGCAUACGAUCUACGGAUGAAAGCGGGAGACCUUCGGGCCUCGCGCUAUAGGGUUGGCCGAUGGCUGAUUAGCUAGUUUGUGGGGUAAAGGCCUACCAAGGCGACGAUCAGUAGCUGGUCUGAGAGGACGACCAGCCACACUGGGACUGAGACACGGCCCAGACUCCUACGGGAGGCAGCAGUGGGGAAUUUUGGACAAUGGGCGAAAGCCUGAUCCAGCAAUGCCGCGUGUGUGAAGAAGGCCUUCGGGUUGUAAAGCACUUUUGUCCGGAAAGAAAUCCUUGGCUCUAAUACAGUCGGGGGAUGACGGUACCGGAAGAAUAAGCACCGGCUAACUACGUGCCAGCAGCCGCGGUAAUACGUAGGGUGCGAGCGUUAAUCGGAAUUACUGGGCGUAAAGCGUGCGCAGGCGGUUUGCUAAGACCGAUGUGAAAUCCCCGGGCUCAACCUGGGAACUGCAUUGGUGACUGGCAGGCUAGAGUAUGGCAGAGGGGGGUAGAAUUCCACGUGUAGCAGUGAAAUGCGUAGAGAUGUGGAGGAAUACCGAUGGCGAAGGCAGCCCCCUGGGCCAAUACUGACGCUCAUGCACGAAAGCGUGGGGAGCAAACAGGAUUAGAUACACUGGUAGUCCACGCCCUAAACGAUGUCAACUAGUUGUUGGGGAUUCAUUUCC